This 254-nucleotide ribosomal RNA is filed under the name uncultured bacterium. RNAcentral's name for it is "partial 16S ribosomal RNA". It matches the Rfam family "Bacterial small subunit ribosomal RNA", at positions 524 to 776 of the family's 1533-position model. The record is from RNAcentral.
AACGUAGGAGGCGAGCGUUAUCCGGAUUUACUGGGCGUAAAGCGCGUGCAGGCGGUCCUGCAAGUCAUGCGUGAAAGCUCCCUGGCUCAACCGGGAGAGGUCGUGUGAAACUGCGGGACUUGAGGCAGAGAGAGGCGAGUGGAAUUCCGGGUGUAGUGGUGAAAUGCGUAGAUAUCCGGAGGAACACCAGUGGCGAAGGCGGCUCGCUGGCUCGGUACUGACGCUCAGACGCGAAAGCAUGGGGAGCGAACGGG